CUAGCCGUAAACGGUGAUCACUAGGUGUUGGAGGCAUCGACCCCUCCAGUGCCGCAGCUAACGCAUUAAGUGAUCCGCCUGGGGANGCAACGCGAAGAACCUUACCCAGACUUGACAUGCAUUCGACUGGUGUGGAAACACACCUUUCCUUCGGGACGGAUGCACAGGUGC
This 171-nucleotide ribosomal RNA is filed under the name uncultured bacterium. RNAcentral describes it as "partial 16S ribosomal RNA". It matches the Rfam family "Bacterial small subunit ribosomal RNA", at positions 796 to 1041 of the family's 1533-position model. The record is from RNAcentral.